RNAcentral lists this ribosomal RNA (1094 nucleotides) under Clostridioides difficile. RNAcentral's name for it is "partial 23S ribosomal RNA". It matches the Rfam family "Bacterial large subunit ribosomal RNA", at positions 1119 to 2231 of the family's 2925-position model. The record is from RNAcentral. Lineage: Bacteria; Bacillati; Bacillota; Clostridia; Peptostreptococcales; Peptostreptococcaceae.
UCAUUCAAAGAGUGCGUAAUAGCUCACUGGUCGAGUGAUCCUGCGCCGAAGAUUUCCGGGGCUAAAACUUACUACCGAAGCUACGGCAUCAGUAAUGAUGGGUAGGGGAGCUUCCCAUACGGGUUGAAGCAUGACCGUAAGGACAUGUGGACAGUAUGGGAGUGAGAAUGUUGGCAUGAGUAGCGAGAUGUGGGUGAGAAUCCCACAGGCCGUAAACCCAAGGUUUCCAGGGGAAGGUUCGUCCGCCCUGGGUUAGUCGGGACCUAAGCUGAGGCCGAAAGGCGUAGGUGAUGGACAACAGGUUGAUAUUCCUGUACUACCGAUAACCGUUUGAGAGAAGGGAUGACACAGUAGGAUAAGCUAAGCACACUGUUGGUUAUGUGUGCCCAAGCAUUGAGGCAGUCAAAGUAGGCAAAUCCGCUUUGAUAAUGCUGGGAUGUGAUGGGGAGCGAAAUUUAGUAGCGAAGUAGCUGAUUUCACACUGUCAAGAAAAGUCUCUAUCGAGGUUAAAGGUACCCGUACCGCAAACCGACACAGGUGGGUGAGGAGAGUAUCCUAAGGCCAGCGAGAGAACUGUUGUUAAGGAACUCGGCAAAAUGACCCCGUAACUUAGGGAUAAGGGGUGCCACCAUCAGGUGGCCGCAGAGAAUAGGCCCAAGCGACUGUUUACCAAAAACAUAGGUUUCUGCUAAGUCGCAAGACGAUGUAUAGGAGCUGACGCCUGCCCGGUGCUGGAAGGUUAAGGGGAUCUGUUAGAGCAAUCGAAGCAGUGAACUUAAGCCCCAGUAAACGGCGGCCGUAACUAUAACGGUCCUAAGGUAGCGAAAUUCCUUGUCGGGUAAGUUCCGACCCGCACGAAAGGCGUAACGAUUUGGGCACUGUCUCAACAACAGACUCGGUGAAAUUGUAAUUCCGGUGAAGAUGCCGGAUACCUGCGACAGGACGGAAAGACCCCAUGGAGCUUUACUGUAGCUUGACAUUGGGUCUUGGUACUACAUGUACAGGAUAGGUGGGAGGCUUUGAAACCAGGACGCCAGUUUUGGCGGAGCCAUCCUUGGGAUACCACCCUUGUAGUACUGGGACUCUAACCAUAG